Molecule: ribosomal RNA, 515 nt
Filed under: uncultured bacterium
Lineage: Bacteria
Description: partial 16S ribosomal RNA
Rfam family: Bacterial small subunit ribosomal RNA
Source: RNAcentral
GAUGAACGCUGGCGGCGUGCCUAAUACAUGCAAGUCGAGCGAAUGGAUUAAGAGCUUGCUCUUAUGAAGUUAGCGGCGGACGGGUGAGUAACACGUGGGUAACCUGCCCAUAAGACUGGGAUAACUCCGGGAAACCGGGGCUAAUACCGGAUAACAUUUUGAACCGCAUGGUUCGAAAUUGAAAGGCGGCUUCGGCUGUCACUUAUGGAUGGACCCGCGUCGCAUUAGCUAGUUGGUGAGGUAACGGCUCACCAAGGCAACGAUGCGUAGCCGGCCUGAGAGGGUGAUCGGCCACACUGGGACCGAGACACGGCCCAGACUCCUACGGGAGGCAGCAGUAGGGAAUCUUCCGCAAUGGACGAAAGUCUGACGGAGCAACGCCGCGUGAGUGAUGAAGGCUUUCGGGUCGUAAAACUCUGUUGUUAGGGAAGAACAAGUGCUAGUUGAAUAAGCUGGCACCUUGACGGUACCUAACCAGAAAGCCACGGCUAACUACGAGCCAGCCGCCGCCGUAA